CUUUGCAUUAAAAUGUGAUUAUGUGGUGCCUAUCCCUAGUCAUUGAUACUAUAGAAAGAGGAUGCCAAAAGGUUUUCCCUGUAUUUGAAAGGUUCAUUCCUUCCUGUCCUUGCUAAAUCUUGGUGCUUCUGAACA
Molecule: small nucleolar RNA, 135 nt
Organism: Myodes glareolus (Bank vole)
Lineage: Eukaryota; Metazoa; Chordata; Mammalia; Rodentia; Cricetidae
Product: small nucleolar RNA SNORA71
Source: RefSeq, a predicted model, not a curated record